GACGAACGCUGGCGGCGUGCCUAAUACAUGCAAGUAGAACGCACAGUUUAUACCGUAGCUUGCUACACCAUAGACUGUGAGUUGCGAACGGGUGAGUAACGCGUAGGUAACCUGCCUGGUAGCGGGGGAUAACUAUUGGAAACGAUAGCUAAUACCGCAUAAUAUUAAUUAUUGCAUGAUAAUUAAUUGAAAGGUGCAAUUGCACCACUACCAGAUGGACCUGCGUUGUAUUAGCUAGUAGGUGAGGUAACGGCUCACCUAGGCGACGAUACAUAGCCGACCUGAGAGGGUGAUCGGCCACACUGGGAGUGAGACACGGCCCAGACUCCUACGGGAGGCAGCAGUAGGGAAUCUUGGGCAAUGGACGAAAGUCUGACCGGGCAACGCCGCGUGAGUGAAGAAGGUUUUCGGAUCGUAAAGCUCUGUUGUAAGAGAAGAACGGGUGUGAGAGUGGAAAGUUCACACUGUGACGGUAUCUGACCAGAAAGGGACGGCUAACUACGUG
RNAcentral lists this ribosomal RNA (505 nucleotides) under uncultured bacterium. RNAcentral's name for it is "partial 16S ribosomal RNA". It matches the Rfam family "Bacterial small subunit ribosomal RNA", at positions 28 to 507 of the family's 1533-position model. The record is from RNAcentral.